UGCAGCCCCAAGUGUCAAAUCACCAGGGGAGAGUCAUCCCUGUCCUGCCCUUUCUGCUCCCCAUGUUUCCCCACGAAUCAUAUGCUCAAGUCCAUUAGCUACAAUGUUCUCUUAAUUACAUUUUGCACUGAGCCCCCCGCUCUGUUCAGAAUAAACAAAGAGAAAGCCAGUUAACUUGUUGAACCCACUGCCUCUAGAUGUGGUGAUGACCACUGGCUUUGAUGGGUUUGAAAAGGGGUUAGACACAUUUAUGUAGGAGGAGAGGUCCCUUAGUGGCUAUUAGUCAUGAUGGCUAGAGAGACCUCCAGAUGCACAGGAUGAAUCCCAAAUGCUGGGCAUAUGCAAUGGGUGAGGUUGAUGCCUUUGCACUUUUACAUGUUACAGAGGACUCAGAAGCUACAAAAGACUCAUGAAGCAGAAGGUUAGACCAUGAUGAACAUGUCCCCUCAGAAAUGCUGAUUGUAUCCGCUGAUUGUACAGUAUAUGCUACUAGUGGCUGGUGCUGGAUCAAGUCACGUUGGAAGAGAUGUGCUAUUGCCCUUCUGUUCAAAUGUUGAAGGUGACCUGGAGUUGGAGAAGGAAAUCAGUGAGGCAUCAAAGAGAGACUGGGCUGUAAUAAUGGGUGACUUCCAUUACCCGCCCAUGGACUGCGUAAAUUCAUAUUCAGCUAUUUGACCAUUACGUUUGAACAUCAACAGAGGCAAAAGGGAUGACAUUCUAGUCCUAUCUCCUAAUCCACCACACCAGUCAAAAAAGCUGGCCUGAUCCUAUUUUCUUGAGACCUGGAGACAGUAGUCAAUCUCAUCAAAACCAACAGGAUGGGAGUAAUGGUUCCUUCCCUCUGAAAUUGAACUUGUGGUUUUCUCUCUUCUCCACAAUCCUGGAGCAUCCUUCAGAAGGGCAGAGGACGGACUUCAAUGUCUUUUUUCUAUAGGUGUGUAUUUCCCCAGCAAUUUGUUCAGCUGCAUUUAAUGCGCUAAUUUUGAGGUGAAUAUUGAAAUUAGAUGACACAGCCUAAGAUGAAUACAGGAAAAAAAAAACCCACAAAAAGUCAAGUCCUCAAUCCCUUACAUAUUUGCAUUUAGAGACAUGAUUCACCAACAGUCAGGAAAGUCAUGCAGCGAAGCCCACACGUACAGCAGCAGGAAAAUAUAGCUCAUUAAACAAAGGAGAAUGUCAUCUGCAGACGAGUGUAAAAUUAAUCACAUUUCCUUCCCAUUAUGACUGUUCAGUCAGAACUGCAGUUCUGCCAUGUGCACAAAUAAACUACCGCAGGUAGCUUGCAAGGCACACUUUGUUUUAAUAUCCUCAAACAAUUACUGUAUGCAAAUAUUACUUUUGAGUACACUUGGUUUAUGCUGCUGUGUGUGAUGAAGAUUUGCCCUGUUUGACUUUACCAACUUGAUAUACUUGAUUUUCAAAGCACUUAUUAGAGUCAGAUGGUUAAUUGACCCUCCCCUCCCCAUACACACACUAACCACAGCAAUGAAAACUGAUGCUUGAAAUUGUGGCAAAAGAGGCAAAUUAAGGAGCAAAGGAUAAAAUGCUUUAGCUGAAAAAGAUAUAGAAAAUAACAACCCCCAAGUGAUCAAGUGCUUGAACCACCUUCCUUCCAAGAAAAGGUUGAAGAGUAUGAGGCUUUUCAUUUGCAAACAAAGAUGACUAAAGAUGCAAUUAGAGAUUUAACUAUUUUGUUCAAUAUAUCAACUUGUCCAACUCAUAAUGCCUGGCUGUAUUACCAAAUCAAAUAAAAACUCUUUAUUUUG
Hemicordylus capensis (graceful crag lizard) is the source of this 1766-nucleotide long non-coding RNA. RefSeq lists it as uncharacterized. The record is from RefSeq and is a predicted model, not a curated record. NCBI's taxonomy places the organism in Eukaryota, Metazoa, Chordata, Lepidosauria, Squamata, Cordylidae. The transcript has 4 exons.